CUCAUCUCCAUCUCCAUCUUUUUCUUGUUUUGUUUUUUUUUCCAAUCUAAGUUUAAAAACAUUUGCUCUCCAUCGACAUCCAUCACCUUCUUCUUCUUCUUCUUCUUCUUCUUCUUCUUCUUCUUCUUCAAAGAAUCGAUUUCUUCAUCUCGAUCCAGAUCCAGAAGGUGAAACAAAAAUCAAUACCCUCAAGCUAAUAACCGAUGUCAUCGGUAAUCUGUGUUUUCAAUGAUGAAAUACUUCUUAUGAUUCAUUGGGGUUUGAUGAUAAAGAGGUACAUAGAGAUAUGAAACUCUUACCAUACAAGAUUGUCAACAAGGAAGGAAAGCCAUAUGUUGAGGUUAAACUUAAGGAUGGGGAGACUAAGGUUUUCAGUCCUGAGGAAAUUAGUGUUAUGAUUCUGACCAAGAUGAAGGAAACCGCUGAAGCAUUCUUAGAAUGCUGUCAUUACUGCUCCUGGAAUGAUUAAGAACCAAAUCAAAUUAAUUCAUGUUUGAUUCCACAAUUUAUUAUGUGGAUUUGGAAGAAUUUGAAAUUUUUUAUGUGGAUUUUUUAAAUGUAGCUGAAUCGUUGUCGUGUUCUUUGUUCUACAACAUACUUUAAUGAUGCUUACUACCAAGGAUGCCGAUGUGAUUGCUGGAUUAAAUGUAGCAAGAAUCAUCAACGAGCCAGCCGCAGCAGCUAUGGCUUAUGGUUUGUACAAAAAAAACGGAGAAAAGAACAUCCUUGUUUUUGAUCUUGGUGGUGGUACAUUAGAUGUCAGUAUCUUGACUAUUGAUAAUGGAGUUUUUGAGAUGUAGAGGAAUAAAUGAUUCUGGUUUUGGAGAAGUGAUGAUGAUGAAAAUGGAGGAACAAAUGGUUCUGGUUUUGGAGAAUUGAUGAUGAAGAAAAUGAAGGUGGUCACCACGACGAUGAUAAUAAUGAUUCGUUCUCUUUGUUCUGUGAUAUAUACUAAUAUUAUAGGUUGGGAUAACGUAGUUGAUGUAGAACCAGGGAGAAGAGAGUUUGAAUCUUUCCAUCUAGAGACGCAAUACUUCCAUGAUCAUGCAACUUUCACAGUAGUUGUUGGCCUGAACCAGCAGUGCGAGCAAGUGAAUGCUCCUGAUCCAAUUAUCGACACUUGCAGUGACUUUUACAAAUUCUGGCAGGCAACCCAUGAUUUGCACGAGGCCAUAAAUCUCUGUUAUGCAGCAUCGAUAGCAACUAAUCCUAUGGAAGAUAAUCUUGGUGAUAACUUAGAGUUUCUGUGCUUAUGGAAUGUUAUGACGUACUGAGAUUCUCCAUGGAAAGUGGUGCCAAGGGUUGCAAGGUUCUGUUCAUGUCCUGGUUACUUUGGGGAUUAUACCAUUGUGAGAGGCAUGGUAGUCUCAAUGGUAGAGAAGUGUCUUAGGGCUGUGGUAACAGGCAAGAGGGUUGAAGAAGCAUUUGAAGAGGAUCAAUGCGCUUAAGCAUUGCAUGCUUGGCAAGCUUGGUGGUGCCUUUAUAAGUCCUGCUGGAAUCCUCCGUUGUGCUCAAGGAUGUGUUUUGCUUGACAGAGACGGGGUUCGCAGAAAAGAAAAGCUACACAUUUAUUACAAUUUAUUCUCAAACUCAAAGAAGUAGCUGAAGAUAUUUAGAAGGUUGUUGCUGCCUAUGACCGCAAAAUUGCUUAUGGUGUGCUCAGCCAUCAGCUGAAGCAGUUUGUGGUAGAUGAGAACAAGGUUGUACUCAUUAUUCCAGGUCCCGAUACCAGAUUCAAUGAUGCUGAAUUUCAAGAAAUAUAGCUAGCUUGGACAUGUGUUGUUCUGAACUAAGAAUUUCAUUCUUAUGUGUAAUUUAAACCCAAUGAAUGAAAGAAUGGAAGUUGAAUUCUCAAUUGGAGUUUAAAUUUGAGUUAAAUUUGAAUUUCAGUUUGA
Molecule: long non-coding RNA, 1895 nt
Organism: Papaver somniferum (opium poppy)
Lineage: Eukaryota; Viridiplantae; Streptophyta; Magnoliopsida; Ranunculales; Papaveraceae
Exons: 11
Source: RefSeq, a predicted model, not a curated record